RNAcentral lists this unclassified non-coding RNA (340 nucleotides) under soil metagenome. Its description in RNAcentral is "partial contains 5.8S ribosomal RNA, internal transcribed spacer 2, and large subunit ribosomal RNA". The stretch from base 1 to 120 matches the Rfam family "5.8S ribosomal RNA", at positions 35 to 154 of the family's 154-position model. The record is from RNAcentral.
GAUGAAGAACGCAGCGAAAUGCGAUAAGUAGUGUGAAUUGCAGAAUUUAGUGAAUCAUCGAAUCUUUGAACGCACAUUGCGCCCUUUGGUAUUCCUUAGGGCAUGCCUGUUCGAGCGUCAUCUACACCCUCAAGCACAGCUUGGUGAUGGGCGCCUGUCCCGCCCCCCACGGGGGCGCGGACUCGCCUCAAAUGCAUUGGCGGCCGGCGACCUGGCUUCGAGCGCAGCAGAAACGCGUACUCGGGGCCAGGGCGCCCGCUCCCAGAAGCCAACCCACCCAGUUUGACCUCGGAUCAGGUAGGGAUACCCGCUGAACUUAAGCAUAUCAAUAAGCGGAGGA